Molecule: long non-coding RNA, 301 nt
Filed under: Salmo trutta (river trout)
Lineage: Eukaryota; Metazoa; Chordata; Actinopteri; Salmoniformes; Salmonidae
Description: lncRNA (ENSSTUG00000008866.1)
Source: RNAcentral
CCUGUGUCUCCACAGAAAGCCGUGAGACUUACCAGAGAAAGGUGCUGUACAUCUUCAGCAUUGCCUCAGGAAUCUGUUUUUUCGGAGUGGCAUGCAUGGCUCUCUACCGCCGCAACAAGAGACACAGGGAAAAGCUCCGGGCACACUUCUUGGAGAGCCGGAACCUGAGGGUGUGCAGAAUCAACGCCUCUGGGUUCAUGUCUAAAUCCAGCCCCAGGCCUCAGUGUGGCUGGCAGCUUCAAAAGGUGAGAUAAGGAACCAGCAUUUUAUUCAAUUAUUAAUGGGACUUGAGAUAAUUGAA